Molecule: long non-coding RNA, 908 nt
Filed under: Cyanistes caeruleus (blue tit)
Lineage: Eukaryota; Metazoa; Chordata; Aves; Passeriformes; Paridae
Description: lncRNA (ENSCCEG00000001558.1)
Source: RNAcentral
AUGCUGGGUACAUGUAAUUCAGAUUUUUUCCCUUUCCUAUCCCCACAGAAACCAUCAGGCAAGCUUCAAAACUGGAAACUCGAUGUUACAACAGUGUUUCCUGCCCCAUUGAAAGAGUUUUUGAAAGUAGCUGCUAAAUCACUAGUUCCUGUUUGCUGUAGGGCCUGUCAUAGCUGCAGAUGUCCAACCAGAGCUGGAAUGCAGCAGGGAUGGACAGGAAUCACCGCUGCUCUGCUCUGUGACCCCACCAGGAGAUGCUCAUGGGCUAAACCCGUGAGUAGCAACUUGGGCAUAAAUCCACAGAGUAUUUGGACCUGGAAUACCGCUGUGGCUCUGGCUCCUUUUCCCCUUUAUUGUCAAGAACAACUGUUUUCUCUUCCAGCUCACUGCAACGCCUCUUACUUUAGGAAGACACCUUGGGCUGGCCCUGGACUUAGCAAUGAGCUUCAUCUGACCUCAUCCCUGCACUUUGAGCACACCCCAGAGAGGACCCUGCCUGGCUUUGAGCUCACUGUGCCAAGAAUCAGAUGCCUGUAGCUGAUGCCAAUGGGAUGAAUAACACAGAGAAAUGCUGCAGAGUGGGAUGAAAGGUAGGAAAUGUGGGUGAUGCCAAGUCUUGCUUCCCCUCAGCAGAGAGGUAUUUUUUUUGCUGGAAGGCUUUCCUGUUUUUCAUUAGGCAGUUGUGUGACGGUCUCUGGGCAAGGAGUCCCAGUCCCUUGCAGUGCCAAGAAAAACACUCUAAGUUCUCGGCCUCUGAAUGCCCAUGUGGUGAAUAAGCUGGCAAGGAUUAGAUGUCCAGCUCUGCCUGUGCAUGCACGGAUGGGAACAGGCGGGAAGGAAUAUAGUCCAAGCUAGAAAAUGGUUGAAGGGAAAGAAGAAGCCUAACUGAAAAAUGCUGGAGAACUUGA